Molecule: long non-coding RNA, 1142 nt
Filed under: Sus scrofa (pig)
Lineage: Eukaryota; Metazoa; Chordata; Mammalia; Artiodactyla; Suidae
Description: lncRNA (ENSSSCG00030066119.1)
Source: RNAcentral
CAAAGUUAAAUUCCAUCCUUGUCACUUCCUAGCUUGGGGCUUUGUGCAAAUAACUUAAUAUCUUAAAGUCUCACAAAAAAAAAAAUCUAGAACUUAGAAUUCAGAGAGCACAUAGAACAUGUGGCUGCUAGCACAGAUGUGCCACAGCAUAAGCCUUCAAUAAAUAUGCAAGGAGGGACACUAUAGCAAUAGCAAAAAAAAAAAAAAAAAAAAAAAAAAAAAAAGAUGGAAGCCUCGGUUUUUGCCUGUAUAAUUCUUCUAGAUGCUGAAAGAAAUCAUGAAAGCAGCAUAGUAGGGGAGAGAAGCAUGGAGAGGAAAGCUGGUGCUUUGGGCCCUAAAGGAUGAGCAAAAUAUGGAUAAGAAGGUAAGAAAGGGAAGCUUUCCUAGAAGGCCAACAUGAUGAAAGCCUGAGUGCAUCACAGCCUUGGGACCGUGGGAGGGAGAGCUGAAGAGAGCAAAGGGAAUGUGUUGAGAAAAAGCAGAGAAUAAGCCUGAAUAGAUGGAGAAGGGCCAGCUCAGGAGAGACAAGACCAAAAUAAGACCCAGGUUUCCCCUGACUCCCCGGCUUUGGGGCUUGUCUUCUCUCUACGUGAACCCUUCAGGAUGCAUAAUUUGUUUAUUUGUAAGUCAAUGAACCCAGCCCAAGGAGUGGCACAGUGCAUACCUCACCCAAGAAAUUAAUUAAUGUCUGUAAAAUUCGAAUGCCAUUUAAAAUAAUGGUUAUGAGAAUGUUGCUGGCGAUCCUGCAAAUGCCUUGGCCUAACCCUGGAUGUGGUGACAGAGGCAGGACCCUCCCACUCUUCUCCCUGACCUUGUGUCACUCUGCUUGUUCCUUAAACGUCUGCUGACAUCAUGGGGAGGCAGUUGUGAAACAGUCCCAGUGAAUCCGCAUUUGCACAAGUCCUUGAAAUCUUUGUUUGUCUACAAAAUGGCUGGGUUAAAAAAAAAAAGAAAAGAAGAGAAAAGUAGACUCAAGAUCUUGACAUGGCGAGUUGUGAUCAUUUCAGAAGAGGAAGAUGAGGUUGGGCUCAUACUUCAGAAACAUCAGCAGCUGCAGCAUGGAGAAGACCUUCCUGGGGGUAAGAUGGCAGACUGGCUCUGGGGGAGGUCUCUGUGCUUUGGAGCUUUACUCGCUCAGAUCA